AGAGAGAGACAUGCGUGCAUAUCAAUAAGCGGAGGAAAAGAAACUAACUAAGGAUUCCCUCAGUAACGGCGAGUGAAGCGGGAAGAGCUCAAAUUUGAAAUCUUCAAGGUUCUACCUUGACGAAUUGUAGUUUAAAGAAGUGUUUUCUGUUGGAGUUUUGGUAAAAGUUCUUUGGAAUAGGACAUCAUAGAGGGUGAGAAUCCCGUAUUUGACCAUUAUUUCCAGCUUUGUGAUACACUUUCAAAGAGUCGGAUUGUUUGGGAAUGCAGUCCAAAAUGGGUGGUAAAUUUCAUCUAGAGCUAAAUAUUGGCGAGAGACCGAUAGCGAACAAGUACCGUGAGGGAAAGAUGAAAAGAACUUUGAAAAGAGAGUUAAACAGUACGUGAAAUUGUCAAAAGGGAAGCGUUUGACACCAGUGUUGUUUUCUCGAAAAUCAAUUAAAAAAGUUGGAUUUUGUGUUGUAUUGACCUUUAAUCAGCUUUCUGCACUCUUUUCUUGUCUUUUUUAAUGCACUUUUCGUUUAACAAGUCAACAUCAAUUUCUUUUGUUGUAAAAGGGUCAUUGGAAGGUGGCUUUCUUUUCGGAGAAAGUGUUUAUAGCCUUUGGCCUCUGCAAUCGGAGAGAUUGAGGUCUGCAGCGUAGAUCCUUCGGGGUUAGAUAGCAUUUGUGCUAAGUUAUAGCCUUUCAUAGACAACUUGUUGACUAUGAUCAGUCAUGUAGCUUACUCGCUUAUGCUAUUUUACCUACGCUUAGGAUGUUGAUGUGAUACUGCGAGCA
RNAcentral lists this ribosomal RNA (777 nucleotides) under uncultured Neocallimastigales. Its description in RNAcentral is "partial large subunit ribosomal RNA". It matches the Rfam family "Eukaryotic large subunit ribosomal RNA", at positions 23 to 646 of the family's 3401-position model. The record is from RNAcentral. Lineage: Eukaryota; Fungi; Neocallimastigomycota; Neocallimastigomycetes; Neocallimastigales.